RNAcentral lists this long non-coding RNA (4178 nucleotides) under Triticum aestivum (bread wheat). RNAcentral's name for it is "long non-coding RNA (TAES_LNC028025)". The record is from RNAcentral. Lineage: Eukaryota; Viridiplantae; Streptophyta; Magnoliopsida; Poales; Poaceae.
UUUUGCCAAGUUUUGUAAGUACAAUAGACGUUUGCCUUCAAUUCUUUUGUAAAAUGUUCUCAAGUCAGAACACCCUAAUGGCUAAAUGUAUCUCAACCAAGUCAUCUCUAGUGCGGCUUGGUUUUUGAUUUCUAUCAUAGCAUUUUUUUUUGCGAGAAAUUUUUUAGUCUAUUCAUCUUCAAUCAUGGCAGUACAACGAACACCAGAAACAAUAAGAAUUACACGCAAAUCCGUAGACCACCUGGAGACGACUACACAAUGAAGCGAGCCGAAGGCGCGCCGUCGUCACUGCCCCUCUCUCGCCGAAGCCAGCAAAAAUUGUUAUAGUAAACAGUCGAGUAGUCGUCGUGCUAAGGCCCCAUAGACCAGCGCACCAGAACAGCAACCGCCGCAAUUGAAAAGACGCAUAGAUCGAAAGGAUCCAACCUGAAGACAUACCAACAAAGACAAACGAAGACCGCAUUAGAAUAGGUCCACCAAAGACAAGCACCGACCGAAUCCCAUGAGAUCCACCAAAAACACACCUCCACAUGCCCUCCGGCGAUGCUAGAUGCACCACUGAGACGGGGCUAGGCGGGGAGAAAAAUAUUCUUACUAUUAUUGUAUUAUCUUAUUUAUAGUGAAACAAGUUGAGAAGAGGUUGUUAAUAAGAGAUUGCCCAGGGGGAAGAGGACUGAAACAUGCCACUGAAAGACUCUACUGAGACAAAAAGAUGGGCUGUCAAAAAGGUAGAGGAGUAGCGUUGCUUUCGAUACUAUGUAUGUUAGUAUUAUAAGACAUUUGAGAAGUGGAAAUACUUGAUUUCUGGAUGGUUGAAUUAAAAAAAAUCUGUUCGGAUCACAUGGCUAUUACCGGAGUGCACUUUCAAUUGGUAGACAAUUCAAAGUUUGAUGCGGAAAUAAAGUCCAAAAUAAAGAGAUGGCUAGAAGAAGGCUGGGACAGUAAAGUCGUGGCCGUACAUAAAAUACAGGGCAUGUCGAUCGACUUUAUCUUUUAGUAUUUCCUUUUUUCAAAUCAACAUGCAGGAGGACUGCAUGCCUCAUAAUUAGAGAAGGAAGUAAGGGCAGAGAUCCACAGUACACGCACGACCAAAAACAAGAGACGGCGUCCCCAAACCAGAAACAAAGCGAAAAAUUACAAAGCAAAGCAAGGCGCAAGAGCUGCCGCCUGCCUGCAAGACAGGGAAAAACUAAAUUUUACAUAGCCAAAAAUCCACAUCCACCUUUAGUUGAUUGAUUUACGACCUGAGCAACUGGAGUGAAUUUGUUGUAAAAAGUGCGGGCACUCCUCUCCUCGACUCCUUCCAUAUAGCCCAAGCAGUGAAAACAAACGCAGUCCAACUUCUUCCACUGAAGCAGUGAACACAAACACAACUGGUGUUCCCGUGAAGAGCGUCUCUCUUCUUUUAGUGUUUCCUUUAUCCCUUUUUCUUUUGCCUUCCUUUACCCCUUUUCUUUUGGCUUUGACAGCAUGCAUGACGCCAACGACAAUGACUGACAGCCCCUUGAAAUUACUUGUCUGCUUGAGUGCUUGUUGUGAUAAACAAACAUAGGGUAGCGAUACACCUACGUACAACAUACCAAGAGAGAGGGAAGGGAGAUGUCUGAUCUCUGGAGUGGUUUGCUUCUGCGAUGGUGGGAUGAAUGGCAGCUACGUAUCCUCGUCCUGGGCAGUCUGGGCCUCCAGUGGUUCCUCCUGCUUGUCGCCCCUAUGCUCUUUGGGAAGGAGAAGGGGCAGAAGGAAUAGCAGCAGAAGAAAUCCAAGAGGAACAACAACAAGGACAGGAAGAGCAACAACAAGAAGAUAGGUUGGACCCAGCAUUACGUCUUCAUAUGAAGUGCACAGUUGCAAUAUCCAACUACAUGGCGCACCUGCUGAAUUUGAACCCUGAGAUGCUGCUGACCGGCAGCAGGCACCAUCUGAUCUCCGAAGCUAUGGAGGAAGUAAAAACCUGCUUUUUGUUGAAGAAGUAUAAGCUGAGCCAAAGAGAGGAAGUAAAGAAGCUCAUUGACGACAUAGUGGACAAGUCAGUGAGUGAACAUGAUGAAGUUUUCCACAUCACUGAGGCAUGCAAGCUUGCGAAAGAGUUGCUAAAGAUGCCGACACAUAGGCGCUGGAUGCUGAUGUACCGAGUGUGGCUGGGCAUGCUCUGCUACUCCGCCAGCAUGUCCAGGGGUUACCUGCAUGCCAAGAGCUUGGGUGAAGGUGGAGAAUUCCUCACUUUCGUCUGGCUCGUGCUCUCGCUCAAGGGGGGCAAGAGCUUGGCCGACAAGCUUCAGAUGCCGCCAGACAAUGAUGACAACACCGUCAAACCAUAAGUGCCAGGUGUGCAAGGAUUUGGCCGGGUGUGUGGUUGAUUGAUUUUACAAUCUAGAUUGCGUGCUUGCAUGCGUGCUUGCAUGUGAGCUACUGUAGCUCUGGUACGUAUAUCGUUGCAUACAUGUUUUCUUGUUCGCCGGAUACAUUUGUCCUUGCUUUGCUAAUCUGGUGUGCUGCUACCGGUGUGUUUGUGUGUUCAUGGGCCGGCAUAGAAUUCAAGGCUCCCAUGUGUCAGGUGUGUUUAAUAUUUUGCUAUAAUUAUGUAUUGUCCUCUCGUUGAGCGAUUUGUCAUUUAUGAUCCUCUUACGCAAUGCCUACUACUACUUGCAAAUCUUGUUUCACGCCUUAUGUCAACAAUACUUCUACCAGUAUCCUUUAUGGCAGUAGUUCAUGUGUUCCAUGUUUCUCCCCUUCUUGUAUGGCAGCUCCACCAACAUAUAUGUGUUGGCAUGAAACCCAUAAUUCAUGCACUACUACAGAAAAAUAAUUUUAGCCAACACCCUCCAUUUUACUGUAGAGGCAGUUUAGCUUAUUCAGAAAUUUCAAUAGGCAUGUCUAUAAGAAACCAGGAAAACAACACAAAAACAAAAGUUAACCACGGAAAUUGAAGUUGCAAUCCAUUCUAAAGCUUUGUUUAUGAACCAGUAAUUUAGCUAGUGCUAACAAAGGAAGGGAAGAUCAAAUCGUCAUAAAGCAAACAAAGGCUGAGAGUGUGCUGCAAGCGAAGCUGAAACAAUUGCCCUGGCUAUUCAGGUUACAACUAAUAUGGCUAGCAGAGGAACAUAUAUUAUUUUAGGUGGUAACCUAAAACUAAGUUCAUCUAGUACUGCUCACCAGAACUCCUCCUGCACACGCAGCUAGCCGAAAUAUGAUGCAUCUUUUUUGCUGCCAGAUAUUUGGAAGAGAAACAGUACUAGUAGAAGAUAACAUACUGAAACUAGGUUACUCAUUUUAACUGCGGACUGGAUUUCUGCCUAAAACAAACAGGGGAACAAUAAUCAAAACAGGGACUUGCUAUUACUAAUUACACCAGCAGGAAGUUCCAAGGUUGAGAAAGGCACAGACGUUAUGAGAAAGGCACAAACAUUAUGUGCUGAUGAUAAGGCAAAUACGUGUGGCAUUAUUCUAAUGGCCUUCGCCUUUUAUAUCUCACAAGUUAGAGCAUCUACAAUGCAAGAUGCUUAUCUAGAAUUCUAGAUACUAGCCGAGAAAAAAAUAGAGAUCAAAAAAUUAAAUAUCCGGCUAAGCGCUCCCUCUCCAUCUCCAAUGGUAAGUGCUAGGCACCAACAACCCAUUUCAUAGCUAAUGCAGGAGGGAAAAAAACAGCAUAGAGCCGGCUGUCGCGUCGAUGCCAGUCGGACCUGAUGACAGGAUUGGAUCAACAAACUGUCAAUCUACUGGGAAAUUUAUCCUAGCGCCCUCUCCUGGCGUCUGGUAUCGGAGAUGGCCUUAGGCAUCACAGCCAGUGCUGGAACAGCCAUCAGUUAGUUUUGCCACCAGUGGUGACGAUUCAGACCAUGAACUACUUCAUGGGGUAUUUUUCGAACAGCAAACAGUGGAUCCUUCUGCCUCUAGCAACAGAGGGGACGCUAGUGCUUCCGUGCCAUGCCCCUGCAGAACAGGACGCGGCGGCGAGGUGCCCAGGGGACUGCCGUGAUAGGCUACCUCGUCCACAUCCACUGCGAUGGAGCCAGGACGCAAAUCAUGAACCUAGCUCGCACGCGAGAGAGAGAAGCCUAGCAUACAUCACAAGAGGGGAAGAAAGAUGAGAGCGACGGGAUUACCUGUCAAAAUGUGGCCGCCGGAGGGCUCGCCGCCGCCAUCGAUUCGCGCCGCCGGGAUCUCCGACCCACUCGGGC